Molecule: ribosomal RNA, 483 nt
Filed under: uncultured bacterium
Lineage: Bacteria
Description: partial 16S ribosomal RNA
Rfam family: Bacterial small subunit ribosomal RNA
Source: RNAcentral
GACGAACGCUGGCGGCGUGCUUAACACAUGCAAGUCGAACGCUGAAGCUCAGCUUUUGUUGGGUGGAUGAGUGGCGAACGGGUGAGUAACACGUGAGUAACCUGCCUCCUUCUUUGGGAUAACGCCCGGAAACGGGUGCUAAUACUGGAUAUUCACUGGUCCUCGCAUGGGGGUUGGUGGAAAGGGUUUUUCUGGUGGGGGAUGGGCUCGCGGCCUAUCAGCUUGUUGGUGGGGUGAUGGCCUACCAAGGCUUUGACGGGUAGCCGGCCUGAGAGGGUGACCGGUCACAUUGGGACUGAGAUACGGCCCAGACUCCUACGGGAGGCAGCAGUGGGGAAUAUUGCACAAUGGGCGCAAGCCUGAUGCAGCGACGCCGCGUGAGGGAUGGAGGCCUUCGGGUUGUGAACCUCUUUCGCUCAUGGUCAAGCCGCAACAAUGGUUGUGGUGAGGGUAGUGGGUAAAGAAGCGCCGGCUAACUACGUG